CGGGGUAGGAGUAACGCGUGAGGAACCUGCCUCAGAGAGGGGGACAACAGUUGGAAACGACUGCUAAUACCGCAUAAGCCCACGGCUCGGCAUCGAGCAGAGGGAAAAGGAGUGAUCCGCUUUGAGAUGGCCUCGCGUCCGAUUAGCUAGUUGGUGAGGUAACGGCCCACCAAGGCGACGAUCGGUAGCCGGACUGAGAGGUUGAACGGCCACAUUGGGACUGAGACACGGCCCAG
Molecule: ribosomal RNA, 236 nt
Filed under: uncultured bacterium
Lineage: Bacteria
Description: partial 16S ribosomal RNA
Rfam family: Bacterial small subunit ribosomal RNA
Source: RNAcentral